Molecule: ribosomal RNA, 425 nt
Filed under: uncultured bacterium
Lineage: Bacteria
Description: partial 16S ribosomal RNA
Rfam family: Bacterial small subunit ribosomal RNA
Source: RNAcentral
GUGGGGAAUAUUGGACAAUGGGCGCAAGCCUGAUCCAGCCAUGCCGCGUGAGUGAUGAAGGCCCUAGGGUUGUAAAGCUCUUUCACCGGUGAAGAUAAUGACGGUAACCGGAGAAGAAGCCCCGGCUAACUUCGUGCCAGCAGCCGCGGUAAUACGAAGGGGGCUAGCGUUGUUCGGAAUUACUGGGCGUAAAGCGCACGUAGGCGGACAUUUAAGUCAGGGGUGAAAUCCCGGGGCUCAACCCCGGAACUGCCUUUGAUACUGGGUGUCUGGAGUAUGGAAGAGGUAAGUGGAAUUCCGAGUGUAGAGGUGAAAUUCGUAGAUAUUCGGAGGAACAACAGUGGCGAAGGCGGCUUACUGGUCCAUUACUGACGCUGAGGUGCGAAAGCGUGGGGAGCAAACAGGAUUAGAAACCCUAGUAGUCC